Mustela lutreola (European mink) is the source of this 3431-nucleotide long non-coding RNA. RefSeq lists it as uncharacterized. The record is from RefSeq and is a predicted model, not a curated record. The transcript has 2 exons. Lineage: Eukaryota; Metazoa; Chordata; Mammalia; Carnivora; Mustelidae.
GGAGCCUGCUUCCCCCUCUCUCUCUGCCUACUUGUGAUCUCUCUCUGUCAAAAAAAAAGAAAUAAAAAUCUUAAAAAAAAGAUGGCAGAGCAGAAGAAAAUGGAGCUGAAAUGAAAUCUACCUCUCAAAGCAAUCCUGUUUAUAUUUCACUGUAUUUGCUAUUAUAAAUUUAUUUCCAUCUAUUUCUUUGCUAGAAAUGAUAAAUGGCUGCCCACCAACUUCUGACUCUUAGGCAACUCUGUUUUACUAAUAAACUGUUUGUUUUGAUCCUGUAAAUGCUAUGCACAAGCCCCUAAAACAAGUGAACAUUUCCAGAUCCCCAUCAACCUAUUAUUAAGCUACUGUUUCUUCUACUGUGUCUUCGCCUGAUUCCAAACCCUUUCUUCUACACUUUAUCUCAGGUUUGGCCUUUGGAUCUUUUUAUUUGAUGCUUAUUUUUGGCCUCCUGGCACUGGCCUCUGUGCUCAAUCUGAUCAUCUUUGGUUUAAACUCACCUUGUACUUCCAAGCUACCAAGAUUUAUACCCUUUGAUUCUAGCAGUUGGAAUUCCUAGCACACCCACUGGCUGCUGCCUCAAGGAGACCAGUCCCAAAUACUAGCCUCAUAUUAUAAGCAUCCAUUUAUUCAUCUGUUUAACAGAUUUCAUUCAUCAGUACCAUGUGUAAGCCACUAGAGUAGUUUCUGGAGGAAUACAGAAGAUUACUAAGUGAUAGAAAGCUCUUAAAAUCUGUUAGGACAAAUAAACAAGUAUAUAGUGAUAAUUUAAGAUAGUAUGUGUUCAACUUUUACUAAGUAUUAUUAAAUUCAAGACAUCAAUUAGCAAAAACUUCAAAUAGAUUUCUUUUCUUCUUUCAGUAGUCUUCGUGCCCAGCAUGGAACCCAAUGAAGGCUUGAACUCACAACCCUGAGCUCAAGACUGAGCUGAGAUCAAGAGUCAGACCCUUAACUGACUGAGCGAAUCCGACACUCAAAAGCUUCAAAUAGAUUUCUAACCAGGGAGUUAGGGAUAUAGGGUUCAAGGGAACAUUACAAAAAGAACUUGAGGUGGUGGGUCAUGGACUUAAAAAGACUGAGAAUACUGGCAGGUUAAGUUAACAGACUUGAAGGUAGAGUAGGAUAAACACCAUGGGAGAAAGGCAUUCCAAAAAGUAGAACCAAAGCAAUAGGAACAGAAAAGCCCUACUUUGGAUGAAUUUCAAGUAAAUCCAUAAUAAAAUAAUCUACAGAGGGAUACGUGGGUGAGCUUGGGGAUUUAAUCCUGGAAGAAGUUGGAAACAGCUGCUAUGGAUGCUUCGAAGUGUCAAAGAAAGGAUUACUGUGCAGCAGUGAAGGCCACUUAGCAACAGGAAACUUGACUUUUUCUUGGAUUAAAUCAGCUGUGAGUUUCCCUGCCCGGAAGCAAUAACAGAGAUUGCUGGUGCAGGGGACCACCUCUUCAAGAGGAGAGGUCAGGGCAGGAGUCUGGGGUCUAAUUGAAAUCCCUGGGGGUCCAAGUUGUAUAGGGAGGCAGGUGAAUCCAGAAGGUGAAUUGGGAGGCAGAAGGUAAACAGUGCGUCAGAGUGCUGUGAAGAGGUAGAAGUUCACAACGAAAUGGAAUCUGCAAUCUCAGAAGAGUUCUGUGUGACGAUGGGGUUUACAAUCCAAUUUCACAUUACAACUCUGGAGCUAAAUUAAAAGCAAGAGCUCUGCACACUAGGUGCCUGGUUCUGUGUGCUAUUUGUGUGACCUUUAACCUCCCUAUGCCUCAGCUCUUUGUUAAGUAGGAAUAAUAAUAGUUCUUACCUGAUAGGACUAUUGGCGGGAUUAGGUGAAAGAAACAACAUGAAGUACUUAGAACAGUAUGUCUGAUACACAGUAAACCCUCAAAUUUUAGCUCUGUUUUAUUAUUUUAAAUGCCACUUACAUGCAUCUCUAAUCAAUAAAUGGGAUUGCUCUGGAGAGCACUAUCUUAAAGACAAAUGACAAGCACACAUACGUGUUUUCCAUUGCAGCCAACAAAUGCUAUGUUUGGUAAAUACAUGUACGAUCAGCUACCUGUUGAAGUUCAAGCCCACAAAACCUUUACCAUGUGAGGUUGUUUUCUUUAUUAUUACUACCAGAAAAUAAUUACCAUGCUCAAGUCGUAUCUGUCUCCUCAUUUCCCCAUAGGUGACCAUGCUUUGGGAUUUUCAUAGUUUGAGUUAAUUCCUCUGGGCUCCGCCACCCAACGAGUUAAACAGGACAAGAUUCCUCCCAGAGGAUUGUGGUUCUGGGAAUGUGAGCAGCUUGUUUUCAGGAGAUCUGCACCCUGACCUGGCCUACUGUUAGGAGCUGUCGUGUUGUUCUUAGUUGUUUUUUUUUUUUUUUUUUGCCUUACAUAGUUAUUUGUAUAUAAACAUUUUUGCAAAGUAAAUGUUUUACGGGGAUGUUUUGCUUAUACAAAGAAAAAUUAAAACUAUCUUGAAGCAAUUACAUGUGUCCUAUUUUUCUCUUUGAAAAUAAAUGAAAGUAUUAAUUCAUAGUUUCUGGAAAGAAAACAAAAGCCCAGGAAAUGGCCAUGCUCUUAAUGUUUGAAAAUAAGGUAAUAUUAUUCUGUGUUCAAAUGGAGCCUUCUAAGGAAUUACUAGAGUCUCAUACACAAUCGACUUAAAUGCAUUCUUUAUCUUUAAAAGGAAGCAGAAUAGAAUCAUUGAGUAAGUCACAUGUGUUCACAGCCUUGUCUGGUGUAAUCAUAUCCUACACAAACACAUUAUUCUCUAGUCAGAAGGGUAAGGGGACAUUUGAAACACGACCUGCCCUUGCAGAGACCUUUUUUUGUUUAAAGAAUAGUGCAGUGAGAGACCACACAGUAGAAGAUAACAGAAAAUAUCUUCCGUGCCUUCCUCAACCUGUCUCCUCUCUCAUUCUCUUUUGUUCUCUAAGGACAUCUGUUGUAAUGAUUAUUCUGUAAAACUCACAGGUAUAUAGCAGAAGGCAUAUCAUAUUUCAUUUAUUAUUUUGUCUACUAUAAUUAUUGUUCUUUUAUACCACACCAUUGUAGGUCUUUAAAAUAUUUUGUUUAUAAAAGAUAUGUAAGGAUAUUAACAGAAAAUUUAUUAGUUGACUAUGGAUAUCUAAAGAGUGAAUGUUUUAACUCUGAAUUUAAUACAAUUAUAUCUUAGGAAGUCUAAUAGAUUUGUAUUAAGCUACAUUUUCAAGAGAAGUGUGGUUUUAAAAGAUGCUGAAGAUCUUUUUUAUAUUAAUCUCAAUGGAUUUUUAAAAAUAUCCUAUGUAAGCAUUUAAAAGAUAUUCCUAAUUUUUAAACAACAGUGAUGUGAAAAUUUGGAGGCUAUAAAAUAGGUCCAUUAUUUGAAAUGUUUCCAACAUUUUGAUAGCUGGUUUGCUGUCUAUAUAAUGGUUGCAAUUAUAAAUUGAACUCUUUUAAAAAAAUAAAAAAAUUUUUUUAAAUUCAA